UGGUGCCAGCAGCCGCGGUAAUUCCAGCUCCAAUAGCGUAUAUUAAAGUUGUUGCAGUUAAAAAGCUCGUAGUUGAAUUUCGGGGUCAGCAGGUUGGUCGUGCCUAUGGUAUGAACUGGCUUCGCUGGUCUCUCCUUUCUGAAGAACUGUAAUGCCAUUAAUUUGGUGUUGCAGGGACACAGGACUGUUACUUUGAAAAAAUUAGAGUGUUUAAAGCAGGCUAACGCUUGAAUACAUUAGCAUGGAAUAAUGAAAUAGGACGUUCGAACCUAUUUUGUUGGUUUCUAGGAUUGACGUAAUGAUUAAUAGGGAUAGUUGGGGGCAUUAGUAUUCAAUUGUCAGAGGUGAAAUUCUUGGAUUUAUUGAAGACUGACUACUGCGAAAGCAUUUGCCAAGGAUGUUUUCAUUAAUCAAGAACGAAAGUUAGGGGAUCGAAGACGAUCAGAUACCGUCGUAGUCUUAACCAUAAACUAUGCCGACUAGGGAUCGGAUGAUGUUAAUUUUUUAAUGACUCAUUCGGCGCC
This 524-nucleotide ribosomal RNA is filed under the name uncultured Glomus. RNAcentral describes it as "SSU rRNA". It matches the Rfam family "Eukaryotic small subunit ribosomal RNA", at positions 562 to 1087 of the family's 1831-position model. The record is from RNAcentral. Lineage: Eukaryota; Fungi; Glomeromycota; Glomeromycetes; Glomerales; Glomeraceae.